Molecule: ribosomal RNA, 720 nt
Filed under: Achromobacter xylosoxidans
Lineage: Bacteria; Pseudomonadati; Pseudomonadota; Betaproteobacteria; Burkholderiales; Alcaligenaceae
Description: partial 16S ribosomal RNA
Source: RNAcentral
UCCCAGGAGGCUGCCUUCGCCAUCGGUGUUCCUCCGCAUAUCUACGCAUUUCACUGCUACACGCGGAAUUCCACCUCCCUCUGACACACUCUAGCCCGGUAGUUAAAAAUGCAGUUCCAAAGUUAAGCUCUGGGAUUUCACAUCUUUCUUUCCGAACCGCCUGCGCACGCUUUACGCCCAGUAAUUCCGAUUAACGCUUGCACCCUACGUAUUACCGCGGCUGCUGGCACGUAGUUAGCCGGUGCUUAUUCUGCAGGUACCGUCAGUUUCACGGGGUAUUAACCCAUGACGUUUCUUUCCUGCCAAAAGUGCUUUACAACCCGAAGGCCUUCAUCGCACACGCGGGAUGGCUGGAUCAGGGUUUCCCCCAUUGUCCAAAAUUCCCCACUGCUGCCUCCCGUAGGAGUCUGGGCCGUGUCUCAGUCCCAGUGUGGCUGGUCGUCCUCUCAAACCAGCUACGGAUCGUCGCCUUGGUGAGCCGUUACCCCACCAACUAGCUAAUCCGAUAUCGGCCGCUCCAAUAGUGCAAGGUCUUNCGAUCCCCUGCUUUCCCCCGUAGGGCGUAUGCGGUAUUAGCUACGCUUUCGCGUAGUUAUCCCCCGCUACUGGGCACGUUCCGAUACAUUACUCACCCGUUCGCCACUCGCCACCAGACCGAAGUCCGUGCUGCCGUUCGACUUGCAUGUGUAAGGCAUCCCGCUAGCGUUCAAUUCUGAGCCA